This 271-nucleotide ribosomal RNA is filed under the name Mesorhizobium sp. RNAcentral describes it as "partial 23S ribosomal RNA". It matches the Rfam family "Bacterial large subunit ribosomal RNA", at positions 1288 to 1665 of the family's 2925-position model. The record is from RNAcentral. Lineage: Bacteria; Pseudomonadati; Pseudomonadota; Alphaproteobacteria; Hyphomicrobiales; Phyllobacteriaceae.
GUGCGAAUGCUGACAUGAGUAACGUAAGGGGAGUGAGAGACUCCCCCGCCGAAAGACCAAGGGUUCCUGCUUAAAGUUAAUCUGAGCAGGGUUAGCCGGCCCCUAAGACGAGGCGGAAACGCGUAGUCGAUGGGAAUCACGUUAAUAUUCGUGAGCCUGGAGGUAGUGACGGAUCACACAAGUUGUCCAAUCUUAUCGGAUUGAAAGGGCAGCGGAGUGGUUCCAGGAAAUAGCUCCUCCUUAUAGACCGUACCCGAAACCGACACUGGUG